UACGUAGGGUGCGAGCGUUAAUCGGAAUUACUGGGCGUAAAGCGUGCGCAGGCUGUUUUGUAAGUCAGAUGUGAAAUCCCUGGGCUCAACCUAGGAACUGCGUUUGAAACUACAAGGCUAGAGUGUAGCAGAGGGGGGUAGAAUUCCACGUGUAGCAGUGAAAUGCGUAGAGAUGUGGAGGAAUAACAAUGGCGAAGGCAGCCCCCUGGGUUAACACUGACGCUCAUGCACGAAAGCGUGGGGAGCAAACAGG
RNAcentral lists this ribosomal RNA (253 nucleotides) under uncultured bacterium. RNAcentral describes it as "partial 16S ribosomal RNA". It matches the Rfam family "Bacterial small subunit ribosomal RNA", at positions 524 to 776 of the family's 1533-position model. The record is from RNAcentral.